This 1056-nucleotide ribosomal RNA is filed under the name Triticum aestivum (bread wheat). RNAcentral describes it as "partial small subunit ribosomal RNA". The record is from RNAcentral. Lineage: Eukaryota; Viridiplantae; Streptophyta; Magnoliopsida; Poales; Poaceae.
AUGUGUGUACCGAAGAAAAAAGGUGGCAUGGGGUUUAGAGACCUUCAUAGUUUUGAUCUUGCUAUGUUAGCAAAGCAGUGUUGGCGACUACUCGAAAAUCCCGAUUCUUUGUGUGCAUGAGUUCUGAGGGCAAAAUAUUAUCCCAAUGGAGAUAUUCUGAAAUCUGGCCCCAAGAAAGGUUCUUCAUUCACUUGGCAGAGUAUUGCUGGUAUUCAAACUUUCAGAAGGGGAUGCAUAUGGCGUGUGGGUUCUGGUUCACACAUUAACAUUUGGGACGACCCGUGGAUACCCACUAGUAUGAACAGAAAGCCUACUACCCCUAGGGGGGGUAUUAUACUAACAAAAGUGGAAGAGAUAAUUGACCCCCACACAGGACAAUGGGAUGAGGCACUUAUUUGCAGCAUCUUUUUCUCAGUCGAUGUGCAUAGAAUUCUACAAAUUCCUCUUCAUGUGGAGGCCGUUGAAGAUUUUGUAGCUUGGCAACAUACAAGGACUGGGACCUUUUCCAUGCGUUCGGCAUACCAUGUUGAAUUUGAGCAUCAACUCGGACAGCACUUGAAUUGGACUAGCCCAAGUAGUGCCUCAUUAAAUGGAGUUUGGAAAGAUCUUUGGAAACUGCGACUACCAGGGAAGAUCAAACACUUUGGCUGGAAAGUGUUGAAGGGGGUUCUUCCAUGCUAUGGUGUCCUUGCUAAUAGACAUAUUCCUCUGAUUCCGCAAUGUCCGACCUGUUCCAUCAGAUUAGAAGAUAUACAACAUUGCUUGUUCACUUGUACCGGGGCACACACAAUUUGGACGGAGCUAGGACUAUCACAGGAGAUUGAACGGGUGGUUUGCCAGGACCGAUCGGGCUGUAUUAACCUUGACAGACUGAUCCAGAUGCAGUCGUCAAUACAUAACAUUCCUAUAGCUGAGCUCGCCCUUGUAGCAAUGUGGUUUAUUUGGUGGCAAAGGAGAAUCCAUACAAAAGGUGAGAUAGUUCAGAUGCCUCAACAAGCAGCUAUGACGAUCCGGGUACUAGCAAGAAUUUUUUUACGAGCAAACACUCCAAACUAG